AUGAACCUGAGAGUUUGAUCCUGGCUCAGAGCGAACGCUGGCGGCAUGCUUAACACAUGCAAGUCGCACGGGCAGCAAUGUCAGUGGCGGACGGGUGAGUAUCGC
RNAcentral lists this ribosomal RNA (105 nucleotides) under Dankookia rubra. RNAcentral's name for it is "partial 16S ribosomal RNA". It matches the Rfam family "Bacterial small subunit ribosomal RNA", at positions 1 to 116 of the family's 1533-position model. Lineage: Bacteria; Pseudomonadati; Pseudomonadota; Alphaproteobacteria; Acetobacterales; Roseomonadaceae. The record is from RNAcentral.